UGUGAAAAGUGCUCACAAAAAUGUCAUUUAAUAAAUGCUUGUUUGUAUAUAAAGGAGCAUACUGUUACACAGGACAGCCUGGGAAACGUGCAAUUGAGAUCCAGUAGACAGGUUUAAGAACUCUUUACAGUCUAGGUAUAAUUUUCAAUUGCAAACUGAAAGCCUCCCUGAGGUUAAACAUUCACAUAAAGCAAUCAACUGGAAUGUCAAAAAAUAUACUCUUUUCCUGGGUCUACGUUGAAGAAAAUACUUUGGUUUUUUACUGGUUUCAUAUGCAUGCAAUUCUCACAAAAUAGAUUUGAGACCAACUAAUGUACAUAUUUAAAAUUGAGUAAAUAGUAUUAAAUGGAUAUAGGUAGAAUUCUUCUUGUCUUUAAAGAAAAUAUUAGCUGUACCACUUCCUCCAAAAGACAGACCUUCAUAACAACUAAUUCUGGUAUCAAGCACCAAUUUCAUUCUGAUGAUUAAGAAGUUUCUAGAUUUUUGUUUCCUACUUCUCACAAGAGGAAACUCAAGAGAAUGAAAUCUUCCUGCUUAAAUGCAAACAAUAGUCUUUGAAACUUGAUACAAGCAAACUUAAGACACUUCCUACCUCUAAUUGAUCCCAUAGUAGUUUCACUAUUUUUCAAAGCAAGUUGUUUUCUGCCCAUGUACUUGCAAGUACCCAGGUGGGCACAGAAGAGUCGGAGCAGAGUGUGUCCAAGUUCAAAGCUGGAGUGUGUGACAGUUGCUCACUCCAGUCCCUCUGUGUAACUGGCUUUCUGCUAAUAAACAGCAAGCAUUAUGCAUAAGCAAGGCCAGACUAGAUGGUGUUCUCAUCUAUUGGAAGGUGUCCCCACCCACUGCAGAAGGUUUGGACCCACAUGGUCUUUUACAACCCCUUCCAAUCCAAACCUUCUGUGAUUCCUAAUUUCCAUCCAUUUCAAUCCUCAGCAGUCAAACAGCAAAUCCUAAUAAAGCAUUUUUGCAAAACGUUGCCUAAAAAAUACAGAGCAUCAGAUUCACAGGAAAAUCAACAUUUUUCUUCCAUAGUCCCAAGAGAUUUAAUUUAUGGCAAGUGAAGGCUACCGCACAGUGAUGGAGAUAAAGAAAGGUAAUUAUUCAUGCUUUUCAUAUUAUGCAUUUGCCUUGACAGGUAAACUGUUCUGUAAAAGCCUUGUCAUCAUUGGCACUGUAACAAAUUUAUUACCAGCGGUUUUGUACAGAUUCAUCAAUCCUUUAAAUCAGAUUAUGUGCAUCACUAAAGUCACUAGGCAAGAAUAACUGACUAUACCUUUGAACUGCAAAGAAAUAGAAAAUGGAACCUGGAAACAUCUAAAUAUAACCUACAAAGAAACUGCUUACUUCUUAUUUUCAUCUGUGUGUCAUUAAUAUGCAUCCCGGCAUGACUGCCUUGCAUUAUUAAAAAGGUCCUAUCUAAGGCAAAAAUCCCUACUUUAGAGAACAUUUGUUCAAAAUAAUUCUCAGGGGUUUUUUUGUUGUUGCAUUUAAAACUAUUUUUUCCAGGUAGUUAUUCCUUGAUAACGUUCUCAAAAUAAAUUGUACAACACAAAAUGCUUUACUUUACCUCCUAGGGUAAAAAAGGCAGCAACUAAGACUCUCAUUAGCAUUAGUUUACAAACAAUUACUACAGGAACAAUUCAAUUCCUCUUACAUCCAGUGAAAUGGAAGCACUCAUUAUUUUCUGCAGCAAGUCCAACUUUUAGAACGACAUGAUUAUUUUGUUUAUAAAAAUCUGAGGUACAAUGAAAGAAUACAAUAGCAUAAAUGAAAAGCUAGGCUUCCCAAAAAACAGCAGUUCAGGGGAGACUAUUCAUGUCUCUUAGCAUCUAGAGACAAAAAAAUCUCUGGUGAGAAAACCAAACUCCAGAACAAAGACAGUAAUGAAAAUAGUUUGGGCUUAGAUGGAUUACACAGACCGCCUGGUCCACCCUCAACUGACUUGGACAUUACAUCCCACAGGCCAAAGUCAUCUCUUAAUCCCUCAAAGACUGGAGAUUCCACCAUAUCACGAUGCAAUCCAUGGCAGCAUGCUCUUCCCUGCUUCCCUUGUCAUAGUUUUUCUUUAAGAAACCCGUUUGUCCUUUUGCUGUUCACCUCCAAGAUGAAUUCAUCCCCUUCCUGCUGCUCGUCUAAAUUAAUGAUCAAAGUACCACUUUUUGUUCAUAAAUUUAAGAGGAAAGAGGGUUGUCAAAUGUGCAGUUACCUUUUUCAUUUCCCAUCUUAUCACAUCACAGUAAUUUAUACAAACCAAUAGUUUACUGCAUUAAUAUUUUUAUUUGUAAACCUCAGCCCUUUGAAAAAUCACAGCAAAUCUUCCCCUAAGUCUCUCAUUUUCUCAAGCCUCUCCCCUCCAUCCCAUGCCUUAAGCUUUC
This is a long non-coding RNA of Taeniopygia guttata (zebra finch), 2375 nucleotides long. Lineage: Eukaryota; Metazoa; Chordata; Aves; Passeriformes; Estrildidae. The record is from Ensembl.